UUUGGGCGGCUGACCUUUGUUUUACUGUUAGAUGAUUACGUUAUGUACUAUCACUUUUGCUAGGCAUGUGACUAUGGGGCAAGAGAAAAAAAAUUGUAUCUUGUAUGCAUGUCUGACUGUGCUGUAAAAACCUAUACAAAGGGAGGGCGGUUCCCUUACAGAGAGCAUCGCUUGACACGGCUCCGCAAGCCCUGUGAAGAUUGUUAAGUGAUCCUCCAAAGCUUGUACUUGCUUAAAUAAACUGUGACUAUUCACAGAAGUUGGCGUAUUGCAUUUGUAUCAAGUGCGUAGGAAUCUCCUAAAAGGGAACUCAACAUUUGGUGGCAGUGGUGGGAUUCCAACAUAUACGGAACUUCUAGACAGACUGAAUAAGUGAUCGUCUGUGUGAUGGUGACGUGAGACAGAUGGGCCCACAAGGUAAGAUUUACCUUGAUCUCUCUCAUUAACCUAUCACUCAGUCGACCCCUCGUCCCCUAGAACUCUGUAGUGACGGAAUCUCUGAGAUAACCUAUGCACUUGUAUGCUGAGGAGUUCGUCUCAGGGAGGUUAGAGUGCCCCUGGAAUUCGGGGGUUAGAGUCUUCCUAACUGUAAGUACCGGGAAUUCGGGGGUUAGAGUCCUCCUAACUGUAAGUACCCGGAAUUCGGGGGUUAGAGUCCUCCCAACUGUGAGUGUCGGGAAUUCGGAGGUUAGAGUCCUCCAAUACCGGGGUUCGAGUCCCUGGAACAUAGUACCUAAGGUAAAGCACACCUUCGGACCACCAUCACAAGCGACGGAUCAGAGCUCAGACGACCUGAAUGAACCCCCCAGACUACAAACGGGAGACCUCGUGCUGAUCAAAGACUGGGAUCGCCCCAAGCUCAGACCCAGGUGGAAAGGACCAUUCCAAAUACUUCUCCAGACUCCGACUGCGCUUAAAGUCAAAGGGCAGAAUCGCUGGAUCCACCUAAGCGACUGUAAACGAUGGGUUCCCUCACCAUCUUGAAAAUAAUCAUUGGACUAAGUAUUGUUCAGACUGUGAGUGGGUUGGAGGACAAUUUGUUUUAUAAGACACAUAUCCUACUGCAUGGUAACCAAACAGUGUGUUAUCCGCUAGCACAAUCUGUAGAAGCUUUAUUUGUAGCAACCCCAGGAUGGAACCCUCACCAACUCUAUGAAGUAGAUUAUUCUGGUGAGCCUUGCCAAGGGAAGAGAGGAACCUGAAGCAGGGGUGUGCAGGGUAAAUGUGUAGAAUUGAUGGGUAACGGCCGCUCCAAUUGUCCAGGUACUAAACCCAAGUCUGGGAAGGAAGGGGCCAACUGUACGGAUCCUAACAGCUAUCCGCUUUGUUUUAAUGGUACUGGAAGUUGUUGUGUAUAUGCCUUAGUAAACGUCACCAACCAUCCCCAUGAUGCUUCCUGGCCCCAUCAGUGUGUAAAACAGACUUGUACAACUAAAGGAGGGCUAUUGAACUGCCCCUGUUUGGAAUCAAAACCGGUAAAUAUGACUUCUGGCAUACAUUGGACUUGUGGGAGUUGUAAUGGCACCCAUGUAGAAACGGGGUAUGGGACGUUUCUGUUUCACUCCUCGGACUUCCAACCAUUUAAGGGUCAAUCCUCCUGGAAUAGUUACAAGAUAGUCCGUGAGUCCGUUACCUGCUACCGUGCUAAGAAGGGAUUCGUUUUCCUUCUCAAUGGGACCUUUUCUACUGCUACUCCAACUUUGCCGGUGCUGUUUGCUGUUGGGACCAUUGGGCCUCUCACAGUCCCUUGUCCCCAACGAGCAUAUACUCGAUGACGAAUUGUCACAUGCUUCAUAAGCAAGGAGUUUUGCGCCGAGUGGCAGGAUCCAGUAACCCUGGGCUCUUCCUUGGGACAUGGCUUCCUGGGAACUGUCACUUUGGGAGGCUCCUCAGGGGUGGUGUCUGCUAAAAACCAAAACUACUUUAUAUGUGGACUUACCGCCCUGGGAAAUAGCACAAUGUUGGCAUUGGAAGCAGUAAAUCAAGAAUUAGCCGAACUUCGGCUCUAUGCUCAGCAAACCCGGUAUGCAGUGGACUAUCAGCUGGCUCAACAAGGGGGAAUUUGUACAACAGUAGGAGACAGAUGCAUCACCCAUGUUACGGACGAAUCAUACAACAUAACCCACGCCAUCCAAUCUAUUAAGAAACAAUUGGAUGAUUUCAGACAAGGUCCUAAGAAAGGAGAUGACUGGCUAGGGUGGCUACUGGGAGGAUCCUGGGGAUCCUAUCUACUGCAUGGGCUAGUAAUUCUUGUUGUUAUAAUCAUUGUAUGUUGUGUGUUAAUAACUUGCUUAAAUACUGGCUGUAAGAUUCUUAUGAGUAAGCUGGCGGCGCCUUUCUCAGCCCCCAUUUAGUUGGUUAUCAUGGAACGAUAAAAGGAGGGAAUGAAAUGUUAAAGAGUUAAUAUCUGUUCUGCUGACAUGUAAGAAAUUAGGUGCAUCAUGGGCGCCCCUGUCUCGCAGACAAAAUGCGGUAAUCUAAUUAUACUCUGCUCUCUGUAAAUGUUGAACUAAGGCUAACAAGAUCUCGCAGACAAAAGGUGGUAAUCUAAUUAUACUCUGCUCUCUGUAAAUGUUGAAUUAAGGCUAAAAGGAUAAGGAACUAUCUAGUCCUACACAUUGUUUUGGGGCAGCUGACCUUUGUUUCACUGUUAGCUGAUUACGUUAUGUACUAUCACUUUUGCUAGGCAUGUGACUAUGGGGGAAGAGAAAAAAAAUUGUAUCUUGUAUGCAUGUCAGACUGUGCUGUAAAAACCUAUACAAAGGGAGGGCGGUUCCCUUACAGAGAGCAUCGCUUGACACGGCUCCGCAAGCCCUGUGAAGAUUGUUAAGUGAUCCUCCAAAGCUUGUACUUGCUUAAAUAAACUGUGGCUAUUCACAGAA
Rhincodon typus (whale shark) is the source of this 2882-nucleotide long non-coding RNA. RefSeq lists it as uncharacterized. The transcript has 2 exons. NCBI's taxonomy places the organism in Eukaryota, Metazoa, Chordata, Chondrichthyes, Orectolobiformes, Rhincodontidae. The record is from RefSeq and is a predicted model, not a curated record.